UACAGAGGUGGCAAGCGUUGUUCGGAAUUACUGGGCGUAAAGGGCGCGUAGGCGGCCUUCUAAGUCGGACGUGAAAGCCCCAGGCUUAACCUGGGAACUGCGUCCGAUACUGGGAGGCUUGGAUUCGGGAGAGGGAUGUAGAAUUCCAGGUGUAGCGGUGAAAUGCGUAGAUAUUGGGAAGAACACCGGUGGCGAAGGCGGCGCUCUGGACCGAGACUGACGCUGAGGCGCGAAAGCGUGGGGAGCAAACAGG
This 253-nucleotide ribosomal RNA is filed under the name uncultured bacterium. RNAcentral's name for it is "partial 16S ribosomal RNA". It matches the Rfam family "Bacterial small subunit ribosomal RNA", at positions 524 to 776 of the family's 1533-position model. The record is from RNAcentral.